RNAcentral lists this ribosomal RNA (465 nucleotides) under uncultured Klebsiella sp. RNAcentral's name for it is "bacterial SSU rRNA". It matches the Rfam family "Bacterial small subunit ribosomal RNA", at positions 338 to 795 of the family's 1533-position model. Lineage: Bacteria; Pseudomonadati; Pseudomonadota; Gammaproteobacteria; Enterobacterales; Enterobacteriaceae. The record is from RNAcentral.
CCUACGGGGGGCUGCAGCGGGGAAUAUUGCACAAUGGGCGCAAGCCUGAUGCAGCCAUGCCGCGUGUGUGAAGAGGGCCUUCGGGUUGUAAAGCACUUUCAGCGGGGAGGAAGGCGUUAAGGUUAAUAACCUUGUCGAUUGACGUUACCCGCAGAAGAAGCACCGGCUAACUCCGUGCCAGCAGCCGCGGUAAUACGGAGGGUGCAAGCGUUAAUCGGAAUUACUGGGCGUAAAGCGCACGCAGGCGGUCUGUCAAGUCGGAUGUGAAAUCCCCGGGCUCAACCUGGGAACUGCAUUCGAAACUGGCAGGCUAGAGUCUUGUAGAGGGGGGUAGAAUUCCAGGUGUAGCGGUGAAAUGCGUAGAGAUCUGGAGGAAUACCGGUGGCGAAGGCAGCCCCCUGGACAAAGACUGACGCUCAGGUGCGAAAGCGUGGGGAGCAAACAGGAUUAGAUACCCGUGUAGUC